AGGUCUGAGAGUGGGGGGGGGACAGCCGGCCCCGCCCACACCCCUCCAAGCCCACACUGCAGCGGCUCUGUCAUGGAGUAAAACAGAACCAGGCCCAUCUCAGAGCCCCAGGAGGGUCCUGUGUGGGAGGCUGCGCCCAGCAGGGGACAGACCAGCAUGGGCUGGAGGGGAAGCCUCCAGCAUGGGAGGGAGCCGGGAGAGUGCAGGGGGGACUCUGGGGCCCCCAGUCAGGCAACCCAAGACCCCAGCUCUGCAGCCGCAGGAGUUACGAGUGCCCAGAUCCCCUUGAGGAGCCCUCCUGGCUGACGACAGGAAUAUGCAAGACGGGGCCGCGGGGGCCUGCGGGCGUGGCGCACCAAGCCGGAGACCACCUUGGGCUGGAGCCCAGCACGGCCACCGCCUCGUCUCGGCUAUCCAGCUUGGGACAGCGUCCAGCCCCAGCUCCAUGGACACAGACCGUCCCCUCAGGGACACCCCAGCCUCUGACGGGGCUGCCAUGAGGGCAGAAUGUGGCCAGGGACUCCCAGCCCGUCGCACGUCCCCCACCUCCACUGACAACCUCCGAGAUACACACAUCUCUUCCAGCUUUGUGUCCGCCGCUGGACGGGACCCCCGCUGCCCAUGUGGAUGGCAGGGGACGGGGGCGCCAAGGGCCCCCACAGCCACACACGGC
This is a long non-coding RNA of Bos taurus (domestic cattle), 673 nucleotides long. Lineage: Eukaryota; Metazoa; Chordata; Mammalia; Artiodactyla; Bovidae. The record is from Ensembl.